GAUGAACGCUGGCGGCGUGCCUAAUACAUACAAGUCGAGGGAGAAUGUUGGAUUCGUCUGACAUGAAACCGGCGCACGGGUGCGUAACACGUAUGCAACCUACCUUUAACUGGGGUAUAGCUCAGAGAAAUCUGAAUUAAUCCCCCAUAAGACUACGACAUGGCAUCAUGAUGUAGUUAAAGCUCCGGCGGUUAAGGAUGGGCAUGCGGUACAUUAGCUAGUUGGUGAGGUAAUGGCUCACCAAGGCUACGAUGUAUAGGGGGUCUGAGAGGAUGAUCCCCCACACUGGUACUGAGGCACGGACCAGACUCCUACGGGAGGCAGCAGUAGGGAAUAUUGGUCAAUGGACGCAAGUCUGAACCAGCCAUGCCGCGUGAAGGAUGAAGGCCCUAUGGGUCGUAAACUUCUUUUAUUAGGGAAGAAAAAACGGGAUGCGUCCUGUACUGACGGUACUUAAUGAAUAAGGAUCGGCUAACUUUGUGCCAGCCGCCGCGGUAA
RNAcentral lists this ribosomal RNA (498 nucleotides) under uncultured bacterium. RNAcentral's name for it is "partial 16S ribosomal RNA". It matches the Rfam family "Bacterial small subunit ribosomal RNA", at positions 28 to 523 of the family's 1533-position model. The record is from RNAcentral.